This 333-nucleotide unclassified non-coding RNA is filed under the name soil metagenome. Its description in RNAcentral is "partial contains 5.8S ribosomal RNA, internal transcribed spacer 2, and large subunit ribosomal RNA". The stretch from base 1 to 121 matches the Rfam family "5.8S ribosomal RNA", at positions 35 to 154 of the family's 154-position model. The record is from RNAcentral.
GAUGAAGAACGCAGCGAAAUGCGAUAAGUAAUGCGAAUUGCAGAAUUUCCGUGAAUCAUCGAAUCUUUGAACGCACAUUGCGCCCUUUGGUAUUCCUUAGGGCAUGCCUGUUCGAGCGUCAUUUAAACCUUCAAGCUAAGCUUGGUGUUGGGUGACUGUCCGCUUCACGGCGGACUCGCCUCAAAAUUAUUGGCGGCCGGUACAUUGGCUUCGAGCGCAGCAGAAACGCGAACUCGGGCCCGUCGUAUUGGCUCCCAGAAGCUAUCUUCACAAUUUUGACCUCGGAUCAGGUAGGGAUACCCGCUGAACUUAAGCAUAUCAAUAAGCGGAGGA